RNAcentral lists this ribosomal RNA (495 nucleotides) under uncultured bacterium. Its description in RNAcentral is "partial 16S ribosomal RNA". It matches the Rfam family "Bacterial small subunit ribosomal RNA", at positions 28 to 507 of the family's 1533-position model. The record is from RNAcentral.
GAUGAACGCUGGCGGCGUGCCUAAUACAUGCAAGUAGAACGCUGAAGGAGUAGCUUGCUCUUCUGGAUGAGUGGCGAACGGGUGAGUAACGCGUAGGUAACCUGCCUGUGAGCGGGGGAUAACUAUUGGAAACGAUAGCUAAUACCGCAUGACAACAGCUAUUGCAUGAUAACGGUUGAAAAGGUGCAACUGCUCCACUACCAGAUGGACCUGCGUUGUAUGAGCUAGUUGGUGAGGUAACGGCUCACGAAGGCGAGGAUACAUAGCCGACCUGCGAGGGGGGUCGGCCAGACUGGGAGUGUGACACGGCCCAGAGGCCCUCGGGAGGCAGCAGUAGGGAAUCGUGGGCAAUGGACGGAAGUCUGAGCGCGCAAGGCGGCGUGAGUGAAGAAGGUUUUCGGAUCGUAGAGCUCUGUUGUCAGAGAAGAACGAGUGUUAGAGUGGAAAGUUCACACUGUGACGGUAUCUUACAAGAAAGCGACGGCUAACUACGUG